This 418-nucleotide ribosomal RNA is filed under the name uncultured eukaryote. RNAcentral describes it as "SSU rRNA". It matches the Rfam family "Eukaryotic small subunit ribosomal RNA", at positions 592 to 1013 of the family's 1831-position model. The record is from RNAcentral.
CAAUAGCGUAUAUUAAAGUUGUUGCGGUUAAAAAGCUCGUAGUUGGAUUUCUGCUGAGGACGACCGGUCCGCCCUCUGGGUGAGUAUCUGGCUUGGCCUUGGCAUCUUCUUGGAGAACGUAGCUGCACUUGACUGUGUGGUGCGGUAUCCAGGACUUUUACUUUGAGGAAAUUAGAGUGUUCACGGCAGGCAAUCGCCCUGAAUAUAUUAGCAUGGAAUAAUGAUAUAGGACCUUGGUUCUAUUUUGUUGGUUUCUAGGACUAAGGUAAUGAUUAAUUAGGGACAAUUGGGGGCAUUCGUAUUAACGCGUCAGAGGUGGAAUUCUUAGAUUGCGUUACGACGAACUACUGCGAAAGCAUUUGCCAAGGAUGUUUUCAUUGAUCAAGAACGAAAGUAAGGGGAUCGAAGAUGAUUAGAU